This 381-nucleotide unclassified non-coding RNA is filed under the name soil metagenome. RNAcentral's name for it is "partial contains 5.8S ribosomal RNA, internal transcribed spacer 2, and large subunit ribosomal RNA". The stretch from base 1 to 120 matches the Rfam family "5.8S ribosomal RNA", at positions 35 to 154 of the family's 154-position model. The record is from RNAcentral.
GAUGAAGAACGCAGCGAAGUGCGAUAAGUAAUGUGAAUUGCAGAAUUCCGUGAAUCAUCGAAUCUUUGAACGCAAAUUGCACUUUCUGGUAUUCCGGAGAGUAUGCCUGUUUGAGGGUCAGUGUAAUAAAAAUAAAUCGUGGUUGUUUGCCACCUUUUCGUGGUGACGUUUCGGAAUUGAGUCGUCUUACCUUCGGUUAAGUGACUUAAAAUUUUUUCAUACGAUUUCGAAACGUAUUUAAUGUAUUAUGUACGUUCACGAAUAUCGAAUGUUUAUUAGGUGCGGUCAUUUUUCAUGAAUUCGCGUCUAUAAUUUUUUUUUUUUUGACCUCAAAUCAGGUAAGAAUACCCGCUGAACUUAAGCAUAUCAAUAAGCGGAGGA